GCAUGUGAAUAACAUUUUGAGAAUUAGAGUACAUUUGUGUUAUUGUGAAUUUGAACAUAAACAAAAUUCAGUGUUUCAAAACUGCUUCACAUAUAAAAACAAAUCCCGUGUCCGUUUUCGGUCGGAUGGGCCUUGCAGAACAUGUUCUUCAGCUGAUGGUGCCACCCUUCCGCAUGGUUCAGGGGAACAAGAGGUACAUCUCUUCUCACGUGGGCAUGGACCUGUGGAAGCGUCUUGAACUCGGAGGCUUGGCUGGGCAAACUUAUGUUGCGGAAUGCAUAAUAUUGAUCUUCAAAGUAUUAAAUUGAUAUGAUUGAUGCAGAAUGGGAAGUGACCAGCUGGAAGGACCCACGUCUCCCCACCUCCGUCUCCUGUACCGGGGGUCGGUGUCCUGUGUCUGAUCCUCCUGCAAAUGCAGACAGUCAUCACCAGUGCCACGAGUGCAAGAAGAAUGUAUGACAGCUCCAUCAGUCCUGAUAUCUCCUACAAGCACGUGCAACAACUGCAAAAAAUACAAACACAAUCACCACUUGUAUAUAUUGUUUGAUUGACAAGUUUUCAAGUAACAGUAAAGACAAGAUAUUUCCAUGGAUUAUAAUUCCUACAUUUCAUUUUGAUGCGACGUUUCGGUACAGAUCAUUUAUACUGUUGAGAAGAUAAAUACAUGUACAUGUACCAAUAGAGAACAGAUUAAGUAACUGUUGUAGAUUGAUAUUUAAUGUUUGUGUUUGCCACACCAUCAGCGACCGCAAUUUUGCAAAAUGAUUUCACAUUUCCUCUAAUUUCAAACUCGAACUGUAUAUACCCGACCUGGUAUAAACUGCCAAAGCAACCAUGUAUUGAAACACACACAGACACAUUUCUUGUUACCGGUUGCCGUUACUGCAGUAUAUGAUGACUCAAUGAAGGUGUGUUUUCAUCAGUGUUUAGAUCUGUCUGAUGGUGUCGUAUUUCGUCAUAAAAACUGUGUGUAUCAUGAGUAACGUGUCACUAGCGAUGUGCAACAUCGACCAUUAA
Haliotis rufescens (red abalone) is the source of this 1017-nucleotide long non-coding RNA. RefSeq lists it as uncharacterized. Lineage: Eukaryota; Metazoa; Mollusca; Gastropoda; Lepetellida; Haliotidae. The record is from RefSeq and is a predicted model, not a curated record. The transcript has 3 exons.